RNAcentral lists this ribosomal RNA (491 nucleotides) under uncultured bacterium. RNAcentral describes it as "partial 16S ribosomal RNA". It matches the Rfam family "Bacterial small subunit ribosomal RNA", at positions 29 to 506 of the family's 1533-position model. The record is from RNAcentral.
AGUGAACGCUGGCGGUAGGCCUAACACAUGCAAGUCGAACGGCAGCACAGUAAGAGCUUGCUCUUACGGGUGGCGAGUGGCGGACGGGUGAGGAAUACAUCGGAAUCUACUUUUUCGUGGGGGAUAACGUAGGGAAACUUACGCUAAUACCGCAUACGACCUACGGGUGAAAGCAGGGGAUCUUCGGACCUUGCGCGAUUGAAUGAGCCGAUGUCGGAUUAGCUAGUUGGCGGGGUAAAGGCCCACCAAGGCGACGAUCCGUAGCUGGUCUGAGAGGAUGAUCAGCCACACUGGGACUGAGACACGGUCCAGACUCCUACGGGAGGCAGCAGUGGGGAAUAUUGGACAAUGGGCGCAAGCCUGAUCCAGCCAUACCGCGUGGGUGAAGAAGGCCUUCGGGUUGUAAAGCCCUUUUGUUGGGAAAGAAAAGCAGCAGGUUAAUACCCCGCUGUUCUGACGGUACCCAAAGAAUAAACACCGGCUAACUUCGU